CACGUGAGUAACCUGCCUUUCACUCUGGGAUAAGCCUUGGAAACGAGGUCUAAUACUGGAUAUGACUCCUUGCCGCAUGGUGGGGGGUGGAAAGCCUUNGGGUGGUGGAUGAUGGACUCGCGUACUAUCAGCUUGUUGGUGGGGUUGUGGCUCACCAAGGCUUUGACGGUUAGCCGGCCUGAGAGGGUGAUCGGCCACAUUGGGACUGAGAUACGGCCCAGACUCCUACGGGAGGCAGCAGUGGGGAAUAUUGCACAAUGGGCGAAAGCCUGAUGCAGCGACGCCGCGUGGGGGAUGAAGGCCUUCGGGUUGUAAACUCCUUUCGCUCGUGACGAAGCCUUUCGGGGUGACGGUAGCGGGAGAAGAAGCACCGGCUAACUACGUGCCAGCAGCCGCGGUAAUACGUAGGGUGCGAGCGUUGUCCGGAAUUAUUGGGCGUAAAGAGCUUGUAGGCGGUUUGUCGCGUCUGCUGUGAAAGCCCGGGGCUUAACUCCGGGUCUGCAGUGGGUACGGGCAGGCUAGAGUAUGGUAGGGGAGACUGGAAUUCCUAGUGUAGCGGUGAAAUGCGCAGAUAUUAGGAGGAACACCGAUGGCGAAGGCAGGUCUCUGGGCCAUUACUGACGCUGAGAAGCGAAAGCAUGGGGAGCAAACAGGAUUAGAU
This 661-nucleotide ribosomal RNA is filed under the name Actinobacteridae bacterium 14-09PB. RNAcentral's name for it is "bacterial SSU rRNA". It matches the Rfam family "Bacterial small subunit ribosomal RNA", at positions 114 to 783 of the family's 1533-position model. The record is from RNAcentral. Lineage: Bacteria; Bacillati; Actinomycetota; Actinomycetes.